CAGUUUGGAGGGGAUCCCUGACAUGCUUGAGGCAGAGGAAAACGAAGAGAAGGGAGCCGCAGGGAAAGGAAGAGAUGGGGAGAAAGUGAAUAACUCUUUCGGCUCACAGGAUUCAGACGCUGAUCCCUGCCCCGUGGAGACUGGUCCUGGGCUCAGGUAAGCUUAUCUCUCCAAACAGCCGAAUGACCAGCGCAUGAAGAUGUUUCUAAAAGAGGCCUUUCCCUAGCAUCGUCCUG
This is a long non-coding RNA of Sceloporus undulatus (fence lizard), 236 nucleotides long. RefSeq lists it as uncharacterized. NCBI's taxonomy places the organism in Eukaryota, Metazoa, Chordata, Lepidosauria, Squamata, Phrynosomatidae. The record is from RefSeq and is a predicted model, not a curated record. The transcript has 3 exons.